This is a long non-coding RNA of Lycium ferocissimum, 968 nucleotides long. RefSeq lists it as uncharacterized. NCBI's taxonomy places the organism in Eukaryota, Viridiplantae, Streptophyta, Magnoliopsida, Solanales, Solanaceae. The transcript has 2 exons. The record is from RefSeq and is a predicted model, not a curated record.
GACUUGCUUGAAAUUUAGCAUAUCUCGUUGUUUAGAAGAUGUGGUUCCUUUUGGUUAUGCUUGGGGCAGAACAGUAAUGCCUAAUGUUGUAAAUACAACACCUGCUCAUGUAAUAUUGUUCGUUCACCAAAAAAAAAAUUGAUAUAAGAUAAGCUGUGUUCUUAGAUAUAAGAGAAGUUGACUUAAGAAAACGCAUAAUUCAAAUACCUUUGUUGUGACAAUUUGCUAUGAGCCUUAGUAGUACCUUUUAUAGUUCAGCUAGGGGAAGAAUCUAGUUGGCAAUAUUCUGUCAAUUUUUUUUUUUUUAAUAUUUGUAAACGAAUCAGCUAGUAUUUUCUUGAGUUUAAGUUUGAUUUUAAAGGUACAAAGCUGAAAUUAAAGAGAACUAUGAUGUAUGUGGUCUUCUUAGACAGAUGACAACAAAGACUCAACCUGCAGAUUAAUUCACCGAGCCUCCAACAAUUGAGUUUUCACAAAUUUACUUGGAUGAAGUGGGUGAGUUAAGAAGGCAUGCACUUAUGACCUUGUUUCUCUGGCAGCUUUCCAAGGAAAUUUUGGUGCAUCAUCCUCUUUGACUUCUCGACUUCAAGAUCGUGAUUUUGACGUUCGGGUGAAGGAAUGCGUUGUAUACCGUUUACAAGAGAUUGAGGAUGAGAUGAAGCAUGACAUGAGAGAAGAUGAGACAAGAAAUGAGAGAAGAAAUAAGACAAGAAAUGCGUCAAGAAAUGAGACACGAAAUGCAGCGAUAGGUGCACAAGCAAGUAGAUAAGAUUCUACAAGCCUGUAUGUCAGUUCUCAUUGCUAGCCCACCUAUAAUGUCCACUUGUAUGCUACAUCAGUUUAGACACACGUCAUCAAUUAAAUAAGGAUACGGGUUAUAUUUAAAUAGUUUUAACUCUUUAUCUUAGACUAUUGCAUUGUUAUUCAAAUUAUGGUUUAUAAAAGGACUACUAAUAUUGUUGGAUUUA